This 642-nucleotide ribosomal RNA is filed under the name Escherichia coli. Its description in RNAcentral is "partial 23S ribosomal RNA". It matches the Rfam family "Bacterial large subunit ribosomal RNA", at positions 609 to 1252 of the family's 2925-position model. Lineage: Bacteria; Pseudomonadati; Pseudomonadota; Gammaproteobacteria; Enterobacterales; Enterobacteriaceae. The record is from RNAcentral.
UGUAUAAUGGGUCAGCGACUUAUAUUCUGUAGCAAGGUUAACCGAAUAGGGGAGCCGAAGGGAAACCGAGUCUUAACUGGGCGUUAAGUUGCAGGGUAUAGACCCGAAACCCGGUGAUCUAGCCAUGGGCAGGUUGAAGGUUGGGUAACACUAACUGGAGGACCGAACCGACUAAUGUUGAAAAAUUAGCGGAUGACUUGUGGCUGGGGGUGAAAGGCCAAUCAAACCGGGAGAUAGCUGGUUCUCCCCGAAAGCUAUUUAGGUAGCGCCUCGUGAAUUCAUCUCCGGGGGUAGAGCACUGUUUCGGCAAGGGGGUCAUCCCGACUUACCAACCCGAUGCAAACUGCGAAUACCGGAGAAUGUUAUCACGGGAGACACACGGCGGGUGCUAACGUCCGUCGUGAAGAGGGAAACAACCCAGACCGCCAGCUAAGGUCCCAAAGUCAUGGUUAAGUGGGAAACGAUGUGGGAAGGCCCAGACAGCCAGGAUGUUGGCUUAGAAGCAGCCAUCAUUUAAAGAAAGCGUAAUAGCUCACUGGUCGAGUCGGCCUGCGCGGAAGAUGUAACGGGGCUAAACCAUGCACCGAAGCUGCGGCAGCGACACUAUGUGUUGUUGGGUAGGGGAGCGUUCUGUAAGCCUGU